CCGAUGCUGACGCGGAGGGACAUUACCGAGUUUACAACUCCCAAACCCCAAUGUGAACGUUACCAAUCUGUUGCCUCGGCGGGAUUCUCUUGCCCCGGGCGCGUCGCAGCCCCGGAUCCCAUGGCGCCCGCCGGAGGACCAACUCCAAACUCUUUUUUUCUCUCCGUCGCGGCUCCCGUCGCGGCUCUGUUUUAUUUUUGCUCUGAGCCUUUCUCGGCGACCCUAGCGGGCGUCUCGAAAAUGAAUCAAAACUUUCAACAACGGAUCUCUUGGUUCUGGCAUCGAUGAAGAACGCAGCGAAAUGCGAUAAGUAAUGUGAAUUGCAGAAUUCAGUGAAUCAUCGAAUCUUUGAACGCACAUUGCGCCCGCCAGUAUUCUGGCGGGCAUGCCUGUCCGAGCGUCAUUUCAACCCUCGAACCCCUCCGGGGGGUCGGCGUUGGGGAUCGGCCCCUCACCGGGCCGCCCCCGAAAUACAGUGGCGGUCUCGCCGCAGCCUCUCCUGCGCAGUAGUUUGCACACUCGCACCGGGAGCGCGGCGCGGCCACAGCCGUAAAACACCCCAAACUUCUGAAAUGUUGACCUCGGAUCAGGUAGGAAUACCCGCUGAACUUAAGCAUAUCAAAAAGCGGAGGAA
This 634-nucleotide ribosomal RNA is filed under the name Trichoderma longibrachiatum. Its description in RNAcentral is "eukaryotic LSU rRNA". The stretch from base 250 to 403 matches the Rfam family "5.8S ribosomal RNA". Lineage: Eukaryota; Fungi; Ascomycota; Sordariomycetes; Hypocreales; Hypocreaceae. The record is from RNAcentral.